RNAcentral lists this ribosomal RNA (465 nucleotides) under uncultured bacterium. Its description in RNAcentral is "bacterial SSU rRNA". It matches the Rfam family "Bacterial small subunit ribosomal RNA", at positions 338 to 795 of the family's 1533-position model. The record is from RNAcentral.
CCUACGGGGUGCAGCAGUAGGGAAUCUUCCGCAAUGGACGAAAGUCUGACGGAGCAACGCCGCGUGAGCGAAGAAGGCCUUCGGGUCGUAAAGCUCUGUUGUUAGGGAAGAACAAGUAACGCAGUAACUGGCGUUACCGUGACGGUACCUAACGAGAAAGCCACGGCUAACUACGUGCCAGCAGCCGCGGUAAUACGUAGGUGGCAAGCGUUGUCCGGAAUUAUUGGGCGUAAAGCGAGCGCAGGCGGUCUUUUAAGUCUGAUGUGAAAGCCCCCGGCUCAACCGGGGAGGGUCAUUGGAAACUGGGGAACUUGAGUGCAGAAGAGGAGAGUGGAAUUCCACGUAUAGCGGUGAAAUGCGUAGAGAUGUGGAGGAACACCAGUGGCGAAGGCGACUCUCUGGUCUGUAACUGACGCUGAGGAGCGAAAGCGUGGGGAGCGAACAGGAUUAGAUACCCGCGUAGUC